Molecule: small RNA, 79 nt
Filed under: Methylocella tundrae
Lineage: Bacteria; Pseudomonadati; Pseudomonadota; Alphaproteobacteria; Hyphomicrobiales; Beijerinckiaceae
Description: suhB
Rfam family: Makes More Granules Regulator RNA (mmgR)
About the family: SuhB later renamed mmgR (makes more granules regulator) was a putative non-coding RNA found multiple times in the Agrobacterium tumefaciens genome and related alpha-proteobacteria. Other non-coding RNAs uncovered in the same analysis include: speF, ybhL, metA, and serC. Several studies inSinorhizobium meliloti showed that suhB element is indeed a non-coding RNA:firstly it was detected on Northern blot and called Sm8RNA, secondly in an RNAseq study referred to as SmelC689.
Source: RNAcentral
CGCUGAUGCCCUUCUUGGGUGUUUUUCUCCCUAGACUCGGGUCGCUUGUGGCAACGCAAGCGGCUUUUUUUUGGGUUGU